AUGAACGCUAGCGGCAUGCCUCAAACAUGCAAGUCGAACGCGAAAAUUCCUUCGGGAAUGAGUAGAGUGGCGUCCGGGUGAGUAACACGUAGCUAACGUACCCCUCCGCUGGGGACAACUCCGGGAAACCGGAGCUAAUACCGAAUGAUCUGACUUUGUCUGCGGACUUAGUUGGUAAAGCCGAAAGGCGCGGAGGGAUCGGGCUGCGGCAGAUUAGCUUGUUGGUGAGGUAACGGCUCACCAAGGCGACGAUCUGUAGCUGGUCUGAGAGGAUGAUCAGCCACACUGGAACUGAAACACGGUCCAGACUCCCACGGGAGGCAGCAGUUGGGAAUAUUGGACAAUGGGCGCAAGCCUGAUCCAGCAAUGCCGCGUGAGGGAUGAAGGCUCUCGGGUCGUAAACCUCUUUCAGCAGGGAAAAAGGGAAACUUGAUGGUACCUGCAGAAGAAGCACCGGCUAACUACGU
Molecule: ribosomal RNA, 467 nt
Filed under: uncultured bacterium
Lineage: Bacteria
Description: bacterial SSU rRNA
Rfam family: Bacterial small subunit ribosomal RNA
Source: RNAcentral